AGUAUUAAAGGCAACGCCUGCCCGGUGAACAAUUAAACGGCCGCGGUACCCUAACCGUGCAAAGGUAGCGUAAUCAUUUGUCUAUUAAUUGUAGACCUGUAUGAAAGGCAAAAUGAGGGCCUGACUGUCUCUUGUAACUAAUCAAUUAAACUGAUCUCCCAGUACAAAAGCUGGAAUAAAAACAUAAGACCAGAAGACCCUGUGAAGCUUAAACUAAACUAUCAAACCACAUGAUAACUAAUUUUGGUUGGGGCGACCUUGGAAAUAAAAACAACUUCCAAACAAAAACUCUAUAACAGUAACAUCAAGGCUGACAGGCCAAACAACGACCCAGCUAAUGCUGACUAAUGAAACAAGUUACUCCAGGGAUAACAGCGCUAUCUUCUUCAAGAGCCCAUAUCAAAAAGAAGGUUUACGACCUCGAUGUUGGAUCAGGACAUCCUAAUGGUGCAGCCGCUAUUAAGGGUUCGUUUGUUCAACGAUUAACAGUCCU
RNAcentral lists this ribosomal RNA (493 nucleotides) under Psammophis sp. NNV-2008. Its description in RNAcentral is "partial 16S ribosomal RNA". It matches the Rfam family "Bacterial large subunit ribosomal RNA", at positions 1842 to 2597 of the family's 2925-position model. Lineage: Eukaryota; Metazoa; Chordata; Lepidosauria; Squamata. The record is from RNAcentral.